This 2182-nucleotide ribosomal RNA is filed under the name Chlamydia trachomatis. RNAcentral's name for it is "23S ribosomal RNA". It matches the Rfam family "Bacterial large subunit ribosomal RNA", at positions 1 to 1994 of the family's 2925-position model. The record is from RNAcentral. Lineage: Bacteria; Pseudomonadati; Chlamydiota; Chlamydiia; Chlamydiales; Chlamydiaceae.
UUUAGUUUUGUUGGGCAUUCGGUGGAUGCCUUGGCAUCAAGAGCUGAUGAAGGACGUUGCGGCCUGCGAUAUGCCUCGGGGAGUUGGCGAGCGAGCUUUGAUCCGAGGGUGUCCGAAUGGGGGAACCUAACCAGGGUUGUGCUUGGUUACCAUCAUCUGAACGUGUAUAGGGUGGUGGGGGGAACGCGGGGAAGUGAAACAUCUUAGUACCCGUAGGAAAAGAUAUUCCGUCAGUAGUGGCGAGCGAAAGCGGAGGAGGCUAAACCGUGUGCGUGUGAUACUCGGCGGGGGUUGCGUGUGCGGUGUUGUGGGGCUUGUUCGUCUCUUCUCUGCCGGGGAGGGGCUUGCGUGUGUGAUGGUAGUUGAACCGUGUGGGAUAGCGGACCGGAGUGCGUGAUAGUCGUGUAGAUGGACUGUUGCAUGCGCAGGUGGGAUAGGUGCCCGAGUAGUGCGGGACUCGUGAAAUCUCGUGUGAAUCUGCCAGGACCACCUGGUAAGCCUAAAUACUUCUUGAUGACCGAUAGUGCAUAGUACCGUGAGGGAAUGGUGAAAAGUACCCCGGGAGGGGAGUGAAAUAGUACCUGAAACCGUGUGCCUUUAAGCCGUCAGAGCCUUGUGGGGUGAUGGCGUGCCUUUUGAAGAAUGAGCCUGCGAGUCAGUGAUACGUGGCGUGCUUAACCCGUGUGGGGUAUGCGUAGCGAAAGCGAGUCUGAAAUAUGGCGUUUGUCGCGUGUUCUGGACCCGAAGCGGGGUGAUCUACCCAUGGCCAGGUUGAAGCAGAGGUAAGACUGUGUGGAGGACCGAACCCACCAGGGUUGAAAACCUGGGGGAUGAGCUGUGGGUAGGGGUGAAAGGCCAAUCAAACUCCGUGAUAGCUGGUUCUCCCCGAAAUGCAUUUAGGUGCAGCGUUGUGUGUUGCCUGGUGGAGGUAGAGCUACUGGAUGGCCGAUGGGCCCUAUGGGUUACUGACGUCAGCCAAACUCCGAAUGCCAUUAGGUUGAGCAUGGCAGUGAGACUGCGGGGGAUAAGCUUCGUAGUCGAGAGGGAAACAGCCCAGAUCAUCAGCUAAGGCCCCUAAGUGUGCGCUAAGUGGGAAAGGAUGUGAGAUCGCGGUGACAACCAGGAGGUUGGCUUAGAAGCAGCCAUCCUUGAAAGAGUGCGUAAUAGCUCACUGGUCAAGUGGUUUCGCGCCGACAAUGUAGCGGGGCUUAAGCGUACCGCCGAAGCUGUGGCACUCACACAUAAAAGCCUGGGCAGGGGACCUGCCUAAGGUUGUGUGGGUGGGUAGGGGAGCGUCCUGCGUGCGGUGAAGCCUGCUGGGAACGGUUGGUGGAGCGUGUGGGAGUGAGAAUGCAGGCAUGAGUAACGAAUGGCGGGUGAGAAUCCCGUCCGCCGAUUGACUAAGGGUUCCAGGGCUAGGUUUAUCCGCCCUGGGUUAGUCGGGUCCUAAGGCGAGGCCGACAGGCGUAGUCGAUGGACAACCAGUUGAUAUUCUGGUACCGCGUUGUGACCGCCAAAUACUGAAGCUUUUAUGCUAACCACCCGCACCUCAACUGUUCAUUCCUUCGGGUUUGAACAGCCAGGGUGUUGUGGGAUCCUGAUUGUUGUAGGUAAGCGUGUUAACAGGGGUGACACAGGAAGGUAGCUGCCGCGCACCGAUGGUUGUGUGUGUCUAAGGUUGUGGCCCGUCUGCCAGGCAAAUCCGGCAGACACGUAGGGUGAGGACUGAUGGGGGUGCCCCUUGGGGGUGUCUGGUGGUGAUCCUAAGCUGUCAAGAAAAGCCUCGACGUCAGGGCAUGACGCGCCCGUACCCUAAACCGACUCAGGUGGUCAGGUAGAGUAUACCGAGGCGUUCGAGUGAAUCAUGGUUAAGGAACUCGGCAAAAUUCCUCCGUAACUUCGGGAUAAGGAGGACCCCGUGACGUUCCCCCAACUUCUGGGUGCGAGCGUUGUGGGGUCGCAGAGAAUAGGGAGAAGCGACUGUUUAUCAAAAACACAGGUGCGUGCGAAGUCGUAAGACGAUGUAUACGCACUGACGCCUGCCCGGUGCUGGAAGGUUAAGAGGAAGGCUCAACCACCUUUGGUGGUGAAGGCUUGAAUUUAAGCCCCAGUAAACGGCGGUGGUAACUAUAACCAUCCUAAGGUAGCGAAAUUCCUUGUCGGGUAAGUUCCGACCUGCACG